UGAAGCACCUGCACCAGAAUCUGCCC
This 26-nucleotide non-coding RNA is filed under the name Rattus norvegicus (Norway rat). Lineage: Eukaryota; Metazoa; Chordata; Mammalia; Rodentia; Muridae. The record is from RNAcentral.